RNAcentral lists this ribosomal RNA (557 nucleotides) under Alexandrium tamarense. Its description in RNAcentral is "LSU rRNA". It matches the Rfam family "Eukaryotic large subunit ribosomal RNA", at positions 78 to 661 of the family's 3401-position model. Lineage: Eukaryota; Dinophyceae; Gonyaulacales; Pyrocystaceae. The record is from RNAcentral.
CUUCAGUAAUUGCGCAUGAACCAGGAUAUGCUUAGCUUGACAAAUGGAGCUGCUGGCUCUGAAUUGUAUUGUGGGAAUGUAUUACCAACAGAGGUGCAGGUCACACUCCUUGGCAUUGGAAUGCAAAGUGGGUGGUAAGUUUCAUGCAAAGGUAAAUAUGCAAUUGAGACUGAUAGCGCACAAGUACCAUGAGGGACAUAUGAAAAGGACUUUGAAAAGAGAAUUAAAUGAGUUUGUAUUUGCUAAACACAAAGUAAACAGACUUGAUUUCCUCAGUGAGAUUGUAGUGCUUGCUUAACAAUGGGUUUUGGCUGCAAGUGCAAUAAUUCUUGCUUUGUGUGCCCGUUUUUAUGUGGACAUUUGAUUACCUUUGCACAUGAAUGGUAAUUUUCCUGCGGGGUGUGGAUUGCAUAUGCAUGUAAUGAUUUGCAUGUUUGUUAAAUGUGUCUGGUGUAUUUGUUUGUGUCCUUGUCCUUGAGGUUGCUUUCUCCCUUGGGCUUACAUGCCCUGGCACACACAUUCUGGCAAAAUGCUUCUGCUUGACCCGUCUUGAAAAU